GAUGUCCGCGAGCUUCUAAUGAUCGCUCGGCGAUAAAGUUCGGCAGUUAGGCAUUCCGCGCGAAGAAUUCCGUGUGACUCGGCGCUAAUCAGUGGGACAUCGGCCUGCCUUCCGUCCGAAUUCCUGGCAAGGUAACAACCGACUUCACUAAUAUAACAUCGUAUACACGAACGGAACACGUGCAUCGUAUACAUAUGCAUGCGCGGGCAUUCACAGAAGCUAGACAGGGUAGUAGCUUCCGUCGCCCGAGGGCCAGAAACAAGAGGAAUUCGAUUGCGGCGGCACAAAAACCGUUCGAGAAAGCUGCGAGUCUCCGACAGAAGGCGAAUUAACAAUACAGAUCUGAAGCAAUAUAAAUCGGUAGACAGAAGGUAUCUAAUUACGCGGCCGGCUAAUUAGAUGAACCAGGAUAUCAGUCUCGCAUCUUUUCCGCGAAGAAAUCGUCUUUCCGCCACCGUCAGGGGUCGAGGAACAAUCUCUGUAUGUACUUCGUUGUACCAUUGUGAACAGGUACCCACAGGUGGACUGUAAUUUACAUGCGACACUUGGGCGAUUCAAUCUCGGCGGCUGGUAAUCGAGCAUUGAUCUUCCGAUGCUCUGAUUCUCGAGAUACGCUUCCAAUUGUUUGUUGCAUAUUCAGUUGAACAAUCCCCGUUUAACCUCUCGACGUGUGACCUCUUUCCUGGCUACGUUGAUUGGAACUUCUUUAAUUAAUGUUCACUUUAUGUCAACCACAAGGUUGAAUUCAUAUUUGCAAUUGUUUCUCGUACAGUUCAUUAAGAAAUCCUUGUUGAACCAUUUGUCCUAGGAUUUCUUUCAUAAUCGCGUUCAUGAAAGCUUCUUUAAACUUACAUUUAUUGUAUGACAAUUUAAACCACGUAAGAUCUUUAUUAUUGUUGAACAAUCGUUCUUGCGAAAAACACAAAUUGUCUGCCUCGAUUGCGGUAAACAGAAGCCGUAUAAAAAUGUAUUUAUUGAUAAACUUUGUAAGCUGAAAAUAAUAUAAUCGCGCUCUUAUAUUUUUCAGCUGUUUUCAUUGUUCUCUAUUUUAUCAGCUCAUUCUUGUGUAAAUGCAUACGCUGUCUAAUUAUAGUAUAUUGUAUACAGCAA
This is a non-coding RNA of Megalopta genalis, 1110 nucleotides long. The record is from RefSeq and is a predicted model, not a curated record. NCBI's taxonomy places the organism in Eukaryota, Metazoa, Arthropoda, Insecta, Hymenoptera, Halictidae.